This 430-nucleotide ribosomal RNA is filed under the name Verrucomicrobiota bacterium. RNAcentral's name for it is "Verrucomicrobia bacterium partial 16S ribosomal RNA". It matches the Rfam family "Bacterial small subunit ribosomal RNA", at positions 355 to 776 of the family's 1533-position model. The record is from RNAcentral. Lineage: Bacteria; Pseudomonadati; Verrucomicrobiota.
UAGGGAAUCUUCGGCAAUGGGGGGAACCCUGACCGAGCAACGCCGCGUGAGUGAAGAAGGUUUUCGGAUCGUAAAGCUCUGUUGUUAAGGAAGAACGAGUGUGAGAAUGGAAAGUUCAUGCUGUGACGGUACUUAACCAGAAAGGGACGGCUAACUACGUGCCAGCAGCCGCGGUAAUACGUAGGUGGCAAGCGUUGUCCGGAAUUAUUGGGCGUAAAGCGCGCGCAGGUGGUUUAGAAAGUCUGAUGUGAAAGCCCACGGCUCAACCGUGGAGGGUCAUUGGAAACUAAUAAACGUGAGUGCAGGAGAGAAAAGUGGAAUUCCUAGUGUAGCGGUGAAAUGCGUAGAGAUUAGGAGGAACACCGGUGGCGAAGGCGGCUUUUUGGCCUGCAACUGACACUGAGGAGCGAACGCGUGGGGAGCAAACAGG